UAAGUCAAAACAGAAUACCCCCUCAAGAAAGAAACAUCAUCAAUCAAAGAGAAGAGCAGUAAUACGAACAAGAAGAAGAAAAAGAAGAAAGGGAAAACCUGAACUGACAUCACAAAAGUCUUUUUUAUCAGUGUAUAUAUAUCAUCUUAAUAAACAUUUUAAUUCA
This is a long non-coding RNA of Saccostrea cuccullata (small rock oyster), 166 nucleotides long. RefSeq lists it as uncharacterized. Lineage: Eukaryota; Metazoa; Mollusca; Bivalvia; Ostreida; Ostreidae. The record is from RefSeq and is a predicted model, not a curated record. The transcript has 2 exons.